GACGAACGCUGGCGGCGUGCUUAACACAUGCAAGUCGAACGGAAAGGCCCUGCUUUUGUGGGGUGCUCGAGUGGCGAACGGGUGAGUAACACGUGAGUAACCUGCCCUUGACUUUGGGAUAACUUCAGGAAACUGGGGCUAAUACCGGAUAGGAGCUCCUGCUGCAUGGUGGGGGUUGGAAAGUUUCGGCGGUUGGGGAUGGACUCGCGGCUUAUCAGCUUGUUGGUGGGGUAGUGGCUUACCAAGGCUUUGACGGGUAGCCGGCCUGAGAGGGUGACCGGCCACAUUGGGACUGAGAUACGGCCCAGACUCCUACGGGAGGCAGCAGUGGGGAAUAUUGCACAAUGGGCGGAAGCCUGAUGCAGCAACGCCGCGUGCGGGAUGACGGCCUUCGGGUUGUAAACCGCUUUCGCCUGUGACGAAGCGUGAGUGACGGUAAUGGGUAAAGAAGCACCGGCUAACUACGUGCCAGCAGCCGCGGUGAUACGUAGGGUGCGAGCGUUGUCCGGAUUUAUUGGGCGUAAAGGGCUCGUAGGUGGUUGAUCGCGUCGGAAGUGUAAUCUUGGGGCUUAACCCUGAGCGUGCUUUCGAUACGGGUUGACUUGAGGAAGGUAGGGGAGAAUGGAAUUCCUGGUGGAGCGGUGGAAUGCGCAGAUAUCAGGAGGAACACCAGUGGCGAAGGCGGUUCUCUGGGCCUUUCCUGACGCUGAGGAGCGAAAGCGUGGGGAGCGAACAGGCUUAGAUACCCUGGUAGUCCACGCUGUAAACGGUGGGUACUAGGUGUGGGGUCCAUUCCACGGGUUCCGUGCCGUAGCUAACGCUUUAAGUACCCCGCCUGGGGAGUACGGCCGCAAGGCUAAAACUCAAAGGAAUUGACGGGGCCCCGCACAAGCGGCGGAGCAUGCGGAUUAAUUCGAUGCAACGCGUAGAACCUUACCUGGGUUUGACAUGGAUCGGGAGUGCUCAGAGAUGGGUGUGCCUCUUUUGGGGUCGGUUCACAGGUGGUGCAUGGCUGUCGUCAGCUCGUGUCGUGAGAUGUUGGGUUAAGUCCCGCAACGAGCGCAACCCUUGUUCACUGUUGCCAGCACGUUAUGGUGGGGACUCAGUGGAGACCGCCGGGGUCAACUCGGAGGAAGGUGGGGAUGACGUCAAGUCAUCAUGCCCCUUAUGUCCAGGGCUUCACGCAUGCUGCAAUGGCUGGUACAGAGAGUGGCGAGCCUGUGAGGGUGAGCGAAUCUCGGAAAGUCGGUCUCAGUUCGGAUUGGGGUCUGCAACUCGACCUCAUGAAGUCGGAGUCGCUAGUAAUCGCAGAUCAGCAACGCUGCGGUGAAUACGUUCCCGGGGCU
This 1346-nucleotide ribosomal RNA is filed under the name uncultured bacterium. RNAcentral describes it as "partial 16S ribosomal RNA". It matches the Rfam family "Bacterial small subunit ribosomal RNA", at positions 28 to 1381 of the family's 1533-position model. The record is from RNAcentral.